This 1156-nucleotide long non-coding RNA is filed under the name Homo sapiens (human). Its description in RNAcentral is "long non-coding RNA NONHSAT209863.1". Lineage: Eukaryota; Metazoa; Chordata; Mammalia; Primates; Hominidae. The record is from RNAcentral.
UGCGCCACGCUCCAUGGAGGCGCCAAGGAGAAGGCCUGGGAAGGGAAGAGUGAACCUUCCCUGGUGGAGGGCCCACUCCUCAGGCAGUGGGGAGACCGCCUUUUGCAUGCGACAGGACUUACCAGUUACUAUUGGCACCGGAACCACCAUCUGAGAUACAGGAGAAGACAGAAAUGGAAGCAAAGGAAGGGAGUUCCACAACUGUGUGCAACAGCAACCCAGUGGAAAAAGAAGAAACAGGACAAGAAGCCUAGAAGGUGAAAAAAAACGAAGUAGGUCAGCUAGAGAAACACCAAGUGCUCACGGGAUCGCAUUGUACAUGACUCAAGACUGUCUAAAUUUCAAGAUGGAAAAAUAGAAAACAGAGACCCCCAAGAGGUUGAACAGCUUGCCGAGAAUCAUGACCAGUUGGGAGGCCAGUUCUGACACCAGAGGUCCUGACGGCCAGGCCAGCACUGUUUUCUGUAGACAUGGUAUCUUCUAAAAGGCAUUUAUCAUUUUUUUUCCUUUCAGAAUUAAAUGAAGACUAAACUCCUGUACACGUGUUUGUUGGUAGAGGCCAUCACAGAAUAUGGCCACCAUACUGUGAUCUGCCAACCCAAUUAAGAUACUGGCCAUGGCUUCUAAUUUGUGUUUUACACUGUUCAGACAUAAAUAUUUAAAAUUUGUUGCAUUGCAAUCUGUUUGGUUGUAAAGAUUUGACCUAUGAAGCAAGAAGUGUUCAUGAAUGAGGUUUAAGGAUGUCAGGGGUGACUCAGAAGGAAACGCGCUAGAACAGCAAGGAUCAGGGAAGCAGCGCUUUUCUCUUUGCAAGUCAUAAAAUACAAUGCCUGAAAGAGCUAAUAAGCCUUGUUAUCUAAUCAUGUCUAAUGGACCUGCUGCAUAGCAGGGAAGUCCUUGGAUGGCUGAAAUCUUCUUCCAGCCAGGUGGGUUUUUCUGGUUGGCCCCAUCAAAACGAACACACUGUGAUUUCAUGUUUUAUGAAAUAGUUCAAGUUGAAAAACUGGAAACAAAACCAGUCAUUCACAUGUGAACCGCAGUAGCAACAAGAACAAUAAAAUAAGAGUCUGGAACUCCAGAUCUGAGGACAGGGUGGAGAAUGUGAAGAAGGGUAAGGAUUAGAUACAGAAGCACAGCCAGGAAGACUGGGCAAUAA